Molecule: RNA transcript, 1755 nt
Organism: Centropristis striata (black sea bass)
Lineage: Eukaryota; Metazoa; Chordata; Actinopteri; Perciformes; Serranidae
Gene name: deoxyribonuclease-1-like 1
Exons: 10
Source: RefSeq, a predicted model, not a curated record
UUUCCUGUAAAUCCUGCAAGGAGGAGCAGUUAUGACUACUCCCGCCUAUUUUGGUAUAAAUCACUGAACACGUUAAGCUGACUGUCAAACGUCUUUCAGUCAGAGGAUUUAGGUGUUUUUUCUGCAGAAACUCUCAGUGGAGUCUGAUUGAAGAAAGAAAUAGAAACAACUUCUCUCUGAUUUGAUUCAACUUAUCUCAAACUGACCGUCAGAAUGCUUAUCGCAGCGUUCAAUGUUAAGAGGCUGGGACGGGCAAAAAUCAACAACCCAGAUGUGCUGAAAAAUCUGAUUAAGAUUGUGUCUAGGUACAGUGUGGUGGUGAUGUUGGAGGUGGUGGAUCAGAGCGGCGAGGCCAUGGAAAUGUUCCUCGAAGAACUCAACGACUUCAGACCGAACAGAAACAAUCAGUACAGCAUGAUAUGCAGUGAGUCUCUGGGACGAGGCACCUACAGGGAGCAGUUUGUCUUCUUCUACAGAGAGGAUGAGGCGACAAUCAUCAACCAAUACCAGUACGAGGAAGAAGGAAAUGUAGACGUGCUCGUCAGAGAGCCGUUUAUUGUGCAGUUUAAUUGUCCAAAUACAGUUGUGCAGAACCUGGUGCUGAUCCCGGUCCACACCAAACCGGAGGACGCAGAGACGGAGCUGAGCGCUCUGCAUGAUGUGGUCCAAGAUGCGAUAAGAAAAAUGAAGACUAAAAACAUCAUGAUUCUGGGAGACUUUAAUGCAGAUGGACCUUAUUUUCCUGAGGCACGGAGGGGAAACAUCAGACUGGGGAAACCUCCCUACCAUUGGCUGAUAGAUGAUGAUGUCGACACCACGACAAGUGACAAUAAUGACCGAACCUACGACAGGAUUGUUGUGUAUGGAGAUCAGAUGAAGAGGGCUGUCGUGACAAACUCAGCUCAACCUUUCGACUUUAAGACGACCUUCAGGCUGUCCGCUGUCGCUGUAAGACUGCUGACAUGGAGAUGUUGAUCAGCUGCAGCCGUCAGCGAUCACUACCCUGUGGAGGUGGAGCUGAAGGAGAGGAGAUAGGACUUUUUCAAGGCAUCAGAAGGAGAAGAAGGAUGUCCCGAGGACGGCAUCGACAAUCCUUUUUUAAUAAAACAUGAUUGCAUGAUAUGGCAAAGCUUAAUAAAACAGACUAUAUCACUGUUUAUUUACUCAUAAUGCUUAUGGCUUCUUCUUUAUGUUACAACCAAUUACAUCAAUCAGAAAACUCCUGAAGAUAACAAGGAAAUGAAACUGUAUCUGGGUUUUCUUUAUGUAUCUGAACAUCAAAAAGCUGAAUGUAAUGUUUAAUUAAUUUCUGUGUAACAGUUUUAAUGAUUAAAUAAUUUUUUAACCGUUGUUUGAGAACAAAGUUCAUGUCACCCACCUGCUCAAAAGAAUAUUUUUUCCUUUUUGUGACUGUUUUUGUAACAUUUUGUGAUGUUGAAACUUGAGAUGUCGACGUCACAUGCAGAGAAUUUACUUUAUAGAGGAGACAGAGACAUCUUGUGUCCAAACACUGAAACUGCAAAUAUUUUUAAAGUGUGUAGAUUCUGAAUUGGAUGUAAUUAUCAGAAUUACUCCAUCAAACCAUCAAAUAUGUGUCUCUUUGGUGUUGCAAUAUUGAGUUUACAGUGUGUUUCUGUUUCAAAACAUUAGUCAUUGUAGGUUUAAACUGACUUUAUCAAACUAUGACGUCACUGAGAUGCUUUCAGGGUUAAAAUAAAACCACAAAAACAGCUCAGUUCACCUGGUGAAACAGCC